This 747-nucleotide ribosomal RNA is filed under the name uncultured bacterium. RNAcentral's name for it is "bacterial SSU rRNA". It matches the Rfam family "Bacterial small subunit ribosomal RNA", at positions 76 to 819 of the family's 1533-position model. The record is from RNAcentral.
GGGGCAACCCUGGCGGCGAGCGGCGAACGGGUGAGUAAUACAUCGGAACGUGUCCAGUAGCGGGGGAUAACCUGUCGAAAGAUAGGCUAAUACCGCAUACGACCUACGGGUGAAAGCGGGGGACCGCAAGGCCUCGCACUAUUGGAGCGGCCGAUGUCGGAUUAGCUAGUUGGCGGGGUAACGGCCCACCAAGGCGACGAUCCGUAGCUGGUCUGAGAGGACGACCAGCCACACUGGAACUGAGACACGGUCCAGACUCCUACGGGAGGCAGCAGUGGGGAAUUUUGGACAAUGGGCGCAAGCCUGAUCCAGCCAUGCCGCGUGAGUGAAGAAGGCCUUCGGGUUGUAAAGCUCUUUCGGCGGGGACGAAACGGUCCGUGACAACACCACGGACUAAUGACGGUACUCGCAGAAGAAGCACCGGCUAACUACGUGCCAGCAGCCGCGGUAAUACGUAGGGUGCAGGCGUUAAUCGGAAUUACUGGGCGUAAAGCGUGCGCAGGCGGCUCCUUAAGUCAGAUGUGAAAUCCCCGGGCUUAACCUGGGAACUGCGUUUGAAACUGGGGAGCUGGAGUGUGGAAGAGGGGGGUGGAAUUCCAGGUGUAGCAGUGAAAUGCGUAGAGAUCUGGAGGAACACCGAUGGCGAAGGCAGCCCCCUGGGCUAACACUGACGCUCAUGCACGAAAGCGUGGGGAGCAAACAGGAUUAGAUACCCUGGUAGUCCACGCCCUAAACGAUGUCAACUAG